Molecule: small nucleolar RNA, 71 nt
Organism: Megalops cyprinoides (Indo-Pacific tarpon)
Lineage: Eukaryota; Metazoa; Chordata; Actinopteri; Elopiformes; Megalopidae
Product: small nucleolar RNA SNORD18
Exons: 1
Source: RefSeq, a predicted model, not a curated record
CAGCGAUGAUGAUGCCACACUUCAUGGUCCGUGUUUCUGAACGCCGUGAUUUCAGUGGAAGUUCUGAGUUU